UAUAUAUAUAUAUAUAUAUGUUGCUUUCCUUUACUUUUAGUAAGAUCUGUAUAUUUAAUCGAGAAAGUUUAGUUCCUCUGCAAAUGUGUGUGCACAGAGGAGCUCCUUGUUCUUGGAGGGUUAAUUUUUUGGAUCCAUCAGUAGGAGUUUUCCCAGAUUCUGCUGCUACCAAUCGGUUUUGUCGUUGCUCUUUUCUUUCAUGCAGCAAAUGGAAUGACUGAGCCGAUAUUUACUCGGGAUUUUUUCUCUUCAAUAAUAAUUUCAUGCUGUUUGUGGGCCGAGUUUUUGUUUUGUUUUAAGGCCUUAAGAGCAAAAAUACGUGGUCAUUGAGUCUUUUUAUAGUUUUCAACUGGGCCGUUAAACUUUAUAAUAGGUUAUCUUGUACUAUUUUGGGCUGAAAACCCUUUCUGACAUGUCAGCAUUCUCUAUUUAGAAAAAAGAAAAAAGAAAAAAGAAGAAAAGGAAAUUGUAUUUAUUAUUUAAAAACAAAUAACAAUAACAUAUUAUAAUACAUUAAUGCAGUCCCCAGCGCGAAACGAAACGGCGUCGUCCACUCGACUUAUAAACGACGCUGCUUUAUACUGUUUCUUCAGCAUAAUCCCCGAGAAGUGCGCAAUUAGGGUUAGGGUUAGGGUUUUAGCUACUCCUUCCCUAUUUAAGUGGCGUAAGGACUCAAAACCUGCGGCACCCAUCUCAAUUCUCAACGGGAGCUUUACUGUUUCUUCCUUGUCUCAGUGACAUAUCAUCUUCUUCUUGUUUAUAACUCUAUUUCUUGUUUGAAGAUCUUCUGGCUGGAACCUGGGAGCACCAGCAAGUUGGAAUAUUAUGCAUUCAGGACAAAGCUUGAUAUGGGUAUGUAAGAUUGAAGCUUGCGUUUGAGCUCCAAAGUAAUAGCUAGCUAAUGUUGCAAGGAAGAAAGUGCACGGUGAAUACUUGGUGAACUGCGGGCUAGUAAUGUUGCUUAAUUGUUUUUUUUCAUGUAUUAGAUACAGUAUAAAGUUUUGCGUUUGAAUCACAGUAAGGAAUUGUAAUUUCUUGUACUAACAAUAUUGGAAAUUUUGCUUAAAAGAAAGAUUGGUGGUUUCUCGUUCUCCAUA
Ricinus communis (castor bean) is the source of this 1097-nucleotide long non-coding RNA. RefSeq lists it as uncharacterized. Lineage: Eukaryota; Viridiplantae; Streptophyta; Magnoliopsida; Malpighiales; Euphorbiaceae. The record is from RefSeq and is a predicted model, not a curated record. The transcript has 2 exons.